RNAcentral lists this ribosomal RNA (491 nucleotides) under uncultured bacterium. RNAcentral's name for it is "partial 16S ribosomal RNA". It matches the Rfam family "Bacterial small subunit ribosomal RNA", at positions 28 to 507 of the family's 1533-position model. The record is from RNAcentral.
GAUGAACGCUGGCUACAGGCUUAACACAUGCAAGUCGAGGGGAAACGACGGGGAAGCUUGCUUCCCCGGGCGUCGACCGGCGCACGGGUGAGUAACGCGUAUCCAACCUGCCUCUGACUGAGGGAUAACCCGUCGAAAGUCGGCCUAAUACCUCAUGGCAUCGUCUGCGGGCAUCCAACGACGAUUAAAUAUUUCAUUGGUCAGGGAUGGGGAUGCGUCUGAUUAGCUUGUUGGCGGGGGAACGGCCCACCAAGGCUACGAUCCGGAGGGGUUCUGGGAGGCAGGUCCCCCACAUUGGAACUGAGACACGGUCCAAACUGCUACGGGAGGCAGCAGUGAGGAAUAUUGGUCAAGGGGCGGGAGCCUGAACCAGCCAAGUAGCGUGCAGGAUGACGGCCCUAUGGGUUGUAAACUGCUUUUAUGCGGGGAUAAAGUGAGGGACGUGUCCUUCAUUGCAGGUACCGAAUGAAUAAGGACCGGCUAAUUCCGUG